UCUGGUGGCGAUAGCGAAGAGGUCACACCCGUUCCCAUACCGAACACGGAAGUUAAGCUCUUCAGCGCCGAUGGUAGUUGGGGGUUUCCCCCUGUGAGAGUAGGACGCCGCCAAGC
Molecule: ribosomal RNA, 116 nt
Filed under: Bacillus altitudinis
Lineage: Bacteria; Bacillati; Bacillota; Bacilli; Caryophanales; Bacillaceae
Also listed under: 6 other names
Source: RNAcentral